Molecule: unclassified non-coding RNA, 352 nt
Filed under: air metagenome
Description: partial contains small subunit ribosomal RNA and internal transcribed spacer 1
Rfam family: Eukaryotic small subunit ribosomal RNA (bases 1-46)
Source: RNAcentral
AAGUCGUAACAAGGUUUCCGUAGGUGAACCUGCGGAAGGAUCAUUAUUGAAUUCACUUGCUUGGUUGUGCUGGUUCCGAAAGGUUCAUGUGCACGCCUUGCUCUUGAUCUCUUUCCACCUGUGAACUUUAGUAGGCAGCUCUGCGCCUUGGUUGAUUGUCUGUUUCCGCUUGCAAGAGUGGGUUUGGGAGGGUUCUGGUUCCUUCAAUGGGGCUCGUCUCUCUGGGACUUUCAGCUGAGCAGGGAGUUGCUCUACGCCUUUUUACACACUCUAUUGUAUGUCUAGAAAGUCCAUUAUUGGUCGGAAGACCUUUAAUCUUACACAACUAUUGACAACGGAUCUCUUGGCUCAC